Long non-coding RNA from Melospiza melodia melodia, 364 nucleotides. RefSeq lists it as uncharacterized. The transcript has 3 exons. The record is from RefSeq and is a predicted model, not a curated record. NCBI's taxonomy places the organism in Eukaryota, Metazoa, Chordata, Aves, Passeriformes, Passerellidae.
GCGCCUCUCGCUGAUGGCGGCCACGCACAACGAGGAAUCGGCGCUGGCCGCGCUCAGGGGGCUGUCCCGGGUCCCGCCCGGCUCCGUUUGCUUCGGGCAACUGCAGGGGAUGGGAGAGCACCUGAGCCUGGCCCUGGGGGCCGGGGGUCUCCCCGUGUACAAGUCGGUGGCUCUGGGUCCCCCGAGGUGACGAUCCCGUACCUGGCGCGGCGAGCGGCCGAGAACCGCGGGGCGCUGGGCGGGGCCAGGAGGAGCGGCAGCUGCUGUGGGCGGAGCUCCGGCGCAGGCUCCGCCCCUGGGCCUGAAUUCCCGAAAUUCCCCCAAAAAAUCCAGAAUUUCUACCCCAAAAAUAAAAAAAUUCCCA